Molecule: long non-coding RNA, 509 nt
Organism: Solanum pennellii
Lineage: Eukaryota; Viridiplantae; Streptophyta; Magnoliopsida; Solanales; Solanaceae
Exons: 3
Source: RefSeq, a predicted model, not a curated record
UGUAGUCACAAACACUUUGAAUGGUAGACAAUAAGUACAUGCAAUUACUUCCAACAACAGCACUAGCCACACAACUUUUCCAAUGAGAAAGUAUAUGCAUAAACAUCACAAUAAGUGGACUAUAAUAGCUUUAAAUACAUUGUCUAGUUUUAACAUCCACAAACAUAUAUGUCAACAUAAUACCUAAAAAGACAACCACAAAUCCAACUACAUUAUUCCCCCCAAAAAAAAUUGUCAAAGCAUAUGUAGCCUUUGACAGCAGAGAUGGGCACUACCAUUAGUCAAUAAUAUUCUGUGUGUUGACUUCGAAAGAACUUUUUACGAUAUCAGGAUUUUCGAGUUGCACGCAUUCGGCCACUGGAUCAUGAAAGCAACUGUUGUUUUCUGAAUCAAGACUCCUGUUUGAUGGAGUGUUGUGACUCGUGGACUCGGAGAAAGAGGCUCCCUGACUACAACAUUGUUGAGGUCAAUACUCAGUCCUCUGCUCGAUCGUUGUGAAGGAUGCAUUU